RNAcentral lists this ribosomal RNA (505 nucleotides) under uncultured bacterium. RNAcentral describes it as "partial 16S ribosomal RNA". It matches the Rfam family "Bacterial small subunit ribosomal RNA", at positions 28 to 507 of the family's 1533-position model. The record is from RNAcentral.
GACGAACGCUGGCGGCGUGCUUAACACAUGCAAGUCGAACGGUGAAGCGCUUGCCUUUUUGGUGGGUGUGGAUGAGUGGCGAACGGGUGAGUAACACGUGAGUAACCUGCCCUCUUCUUCUGGAUAACCUCAUGAAAGUGGGGCUAAUACGGGGUAUUCCUGGUCUGUCGCAUGGCGGGUUUGGGAAAGAUUGCGCCUUUGGGUGUUUUCGGUGGGGGAUGGGCUCGCGGCCUAUCAGCUUGUUGGUGGGGUGAUGGCCUACCAAGGCGGUGACGGGUAGCCGGCCUGAGAGGGUGGACGGCCACACUGGGACUGAGACACGGCCCAGACUCCUGCGGGAGGCAGCAGUGGGGAAUAUUGCACAAUGGGCGCAAGCCUGAUGCAGCGACGCCGCGUGAGGGAUGGAGGCCUUCGGGUUGUGAACCUCUUUCGCCAGUGAAGCAGGCCUGCCUCGUUUGUGGGUGGGUUGACGGUAGCUGGAUAAGAAGCGCCGGCUAACUACGUG